This 56-nucleotide transfer RNA is filed under the name Cavia porcellus (domestic guinea pig). It matches the Rfam family "tRNA", at positions 9 to 62 of the family's 71-position model. From Rfam's summary of the family: Transfer RNA (tRNA) molecules are approximately 80 nucleotides in length. Their secondary structure includes four short double-helical elements and three loops (D, anti-codon, and T loops). The record is from Rfam by way of RNAcentral. Lineage: Eukaryota; Metazoa; Chordata; Mammalia; Rodentia; Caviidae.
AGCUCAGUGGCAUAAGCACCUGCUUUGCAAGCAGGAAGUCGGGAGUUCGAUCCCCC